AUGUCACAUGGGAUGAUGAGAUGGACGCUGCCUUUUGAGGUACUUGUUCAUCAUCACAACAUGGGUGACCAUCCACAAAAUGGAUGGAAAGCACAUGUGUAUAGUGCAGCUAUCAAGAAUGUGAAGGAGAAGUGCAAUAAGGAUAUCGCGAAGAACAAUAUAUUAGGAAGGCUUAGGACUUUCGACAAUCAAUUUGAAAUCAUUAACAAGAUCCUUUCUCAAAGCGGUUUUGGUUGGGAUUGGGUCAAUAAUAAGCUAUCCAUUGAUAGCGACGAUGUGUGGACUAAAUAUUUGGAGGCUAAUAAGAAGGAGAAAGCAUUAGCUUCUUACAAGACCAAAGUAGUGAAGCACUGGGAAGCCAUCGCUACCAUAUAUUCAAAAGAUCAUGCGGACGGUGAAGGUGCCAAGACAGGUGCUGAGACUGCUGCUGAGAUUGCUGCAGAUCUAGAAGAAACAAUUGAAGUCUCUCCAGAAACGGUACCAAAGAGACAACAAACAGGUGAUGCCAUUAUGUGCAUGAUUGGAGAAAUGAGGACUACUUUCAAGGAUGCUUUGAAGACAACUGAUCCACUUCCAUUGCCAAAGGUUACUACUCCUUCUGAAAUACUUGCUGCACUUGAGUUGAUACCAGAGUUGGUAGAAGUAGACAUGUUGCGCUCUUACGGACAGUAG
RNAcentral lists this ribosomal RNA (672 nucleotides) under Triticum aestivum (bread wheat). RNAcentral's name for it is "partial small subunit ribosomal RNA". The record is from RNAcentral. Lineage: Eukaryota; Viridiplantae; Streptophyta; Magnoliopsida; Poales; Poaceae.